Molecule: long non-coding RNA, 840 nt
Organism: Mytilus californianus (California mussel)
Lineage: Eukaryota; Metazoa; Mollusca; Bivalvia; Mytilida; Mytilidae
Exons: 5
Source: RefSeq, a predicted model, not a curated record
GGUUGUGUUAAUAACGCCACGUUCUGACCUGGCUUCCACUGCUGACAACAAAUUUACCUGUAAAACAUACACAAUUAUGAAGGUAGUACUAGUAUUUGGACUAUUUUUGGGAACAGUAUUUUGCUGUUCUGAUGAUCAGUAUACGUGCUUGGACGGAGAAUGCAUCCCUUCAAGUUAUCAGUGUGAUUCCUGGGUUGAUUGCAGUAGCGGAGAAGACGAUAUGGGAUGUUCUAUUUGUGAAAGUGAUAAAUUUCUUUGCGCUAUUGAUUCCAAAUGUAUUAUCUGGUCUUGGGUAUGCGAUGGGAUGGAUGAUUGUGGUGAUGGCUCGGACGAACGGGGGUGCUUCAAUCUUUGUUGGAAUAUUUAUAACCCACUUGCAAGACGGAGUAUAGCAAAAUCGAGUGCUCACAAAGCUGUAUCCAGGGGUCUCGACAAAGGAGGUAAAAAUGAAGCUGUUGGUUCGAAUUUGUACAAAAAGAAAAACGAAGUUGAAGCAGAGAAAAUUGUUAAUAAACUUGAAAAGCUCAGGUUACUCAGAAAAGGAAAACAUGGAAAAUAGAAUUGAACAUGUACGGAAGAAAAUGCUCGCAAACAAUUGGAAUCGACCAUGGACUAUGAUAUAAUUAAAUAUGUAUAAACAAUCAUUAACAGUAGUAUGCAAUGUUAUAUUAUCAUGUAUGUAUAUUUUGUAAAAACGAAAUGUAACAUUAAUGUAAUUUAAAGUUUUAAUUGAUUUAAUAUCUUCAAAAAAUUUUAACAAUAAUUGGUCAAUACCUAUAUUCGUAUUUUACACUUUCAUUAUUCAUUCUAUUUUAUCAAUAAAAUACUUCUUGCAAUUGA